Prunus persica (peach) is the source of this 845-nucleotide long non-coding RNA. RefSeq lists it as uncharacterized. The record is from RefSeq and is a predicted model, not a curated record. The transcript has 3 exons. Lineage: Eukaryota; Viridiplantae; Streptophyta; Magnoliopsida; Rosales; Rosaceae.
GAUUUUUUACUAAAAUGAUGUAGCAUCAGCCCAACUCACAUGCUCUAAUGCAUAAAUUAUUAAACUCAAAGUUUACACGAGUCAGUUCCCUUGUCAGCGAUCAAACCCUAACGAGUUCCCAUUCUUCCCUGGAGAUCAGCUCACUAAUUUCAAAGGCCAAUCCCAGACACCAGGAGGCGGAGGAGGAGCAGGUGGUGCUUCGCAGAGAUUGAUGUCGAUCACUGAUGCUCUGUUGUUUAUCAAGCAACUCAAGGACGUGGGUGGUGACCAAAGAGAAGAAUAUUACAUGUUUCUUGAAAUCAUGAAAGAUUUUAAGGCUCAAAGGAUCGACACGAAGGGUGUUUGUGCGAGAGUAAAGGCAUUAUUCAAAGGGCACAACCACUUAAUUUUGGGAUUUAAUCGGUUCCUGCCACAGGGUUAUCAGAUAAUCCCUGAGGAAGAAGAUGCGACUCCGCCGCUGCAAAAACAGACAGUUGAUAUGAAGCUGCUAUCGCGUUUGUAAACAAUACAGGGAUUGCAGGUCAAGGAGAAUGGAGAUAAGGAUCCAUUGGAGGAGGAGGCAACAUGUUGACAAAGUACACUAUUAAUUAUGAUGGAGUUCCAAAACUAAGAAGUCAUCAUCGACAUCAGACGAAUUUAGUAUAAAAAACACAUGUAAGACCGUUUAUUGAAAAAGAUGGUUGUCGGUACAAAUUUGUCGUUAUUUCAUGUUAGUAGGAGUUUAGAGAACAUUGCAUAGUGCUUUAUUGGGCAACCUUGUGCUUAUAAAUCUUAGUUUUUUGAUUACCCAAUUGUAUAAUUUUCUUUUGGUUAAACAAAAUAAUAUGAGAGACAGAGAAAAUGAG